CCAAAAACUCAUGGAUUCUCAGAAUGUUUAUAGUGCUGAUGCAGUUAAAAAUUAUAUGCAUUUUCAUCACUUUGUAUCAACAUUGUCAGUAGUUAUUAACUUGGUGUGCUUAUAUUCUUGUUUUUGAUGUGAAGGUUAACUUAGUGAAUGAUGGUCUGGUGACAAUGCAGCUUGAAUAAAGGGAAUCAUCUUAAAUAGUUGCAAUAAAGAUCAAGAGCCAUUAUUAUUAGUAUGAGGGAGGGUUGUCAUUCUCCCAGUCACAACCACAGAGGAGGAACCAUGGCUGGAGCCCUGAUGUUGCUGCUUCCCCUUCUCUUUCCAACUCUUUUCACUCCUUUCAGCCAUGCCUUUCCCUCAGUUCUCUCGUUGAUUCAUGCAUGCAUUCUGUAUCUCUUGCCCUUGAGAAGGCCCUGAAGGAUACAAGGGAGGGAGUAUCUGCUUCCUGUUGGAAUCAUAUUAAAGGUAACAUGUAUUUUCAUGUCUCUUUUGGGGUUUCUAUUAUUUUGAAUUACUCUUAAAGUUUCUCUAUACUUGUUGUAUGUGUUACAAAUAAGUGUAAACUUGAAAAUGUUUUGGCUUUUUAUUUAUUGAUGGAAACUUAUCAGCUUUUACUGUUUGUAAUUUAGAGUUGAGUGACUAUGUAAUACUGUAAAACAUUCUGUAAAGAAGAGUUUGGAACAGCAUACUUGGCGCCGGUGGCGAUGCUUUUGAGCAUGAGGCAACUAGAAGAAUGCGUAAUAAAUUUAUGGUAGCUUGGGAUGGCUUGAGGUCAAAAGACAACCAGAGAAUCAUAGCAGGUUGAUUAACUAGUUCUUGAGGACUUGGUGCUAGAAACAUUGUAUGAUAGAUUUUUGUUUUAGCUAUAAGGUAGUUGGUAUACUUGAUAUUUGGUUCAUUUGUAUAAUAAUGUAUGAAUUUUUUGGAUGAU
Long non-coding RNA from Salvia miltiorrhiza (redroot sage), 928 nucleotides. RefSeq lists it as uncharacterized. The record is from RefSeq and is a predicted model, not a curated record. NCBI's taxonomy places the organism in Eukaryota, Viridiplantae, Streptophyta, Magnoliopsida, Lamiales, Lamiaceae. The transcript has 4 exons.